UUUGGUUUUGUCUCAGUUCUUGCGCUCAGAUGGAUGCAUGCUGCCGAGCGAAUCACUGGCUUAUGUAAUAGUCAACAGAAGAAAGUGACCCUGCUAGUUGCCAUGGCUCAAAAAGCAGGAUUGAUGCCCAACCUGGCCCCCUAUUGGAGUAAAAGGAUCCCAGAAACGGUUUGGAUCUAAGAAUUCAACAGAUAUUUUGAUGAGGAGACAUUAAAUAUUAGAAUAUAAAAUAGUAUGAAUCUGUGUAUUUUUCAUCAUUCUGAUGUAAAAUUUACAUAUGUAAUUAUUCACUGAAAAAAUGUAUUCAUCAAAUGUAAAUAAAAUGACUGUUUGGAAAAUUAGUUUUAAUUAAUGUAUCGCAUGAACUCGAUAUUAUUUAUGUGGAAAGGGCAAUGUAAAAUCACUUGACCUUAUUUGAAGCAUAAAUAUGUGUA
Penaeus monodon (black tiger shrimp) is the source of this 434-nucleotide long non-coding RNA. RefSeq lists it as uncharacterized. The transcript is spliced from 2 exons. The record is from RefSeq and is a predicted model, not a curated record. Lineage: Eukaryota; Metazoa; Arthropoda; Malacostraca; Decapoda; Penaeidae.